UACGUAGGUGGCAAGCGUUGUCCGGAUUUAUUGGGUUUAAAGGGUGCGUAGGCGGUCUUUUAAGUCAGUGCUGAAAUACUCCAGCUUAACUGGAGGGGUGGCAUUGAUACUGGAAGACUUGAGUGCAGUCGAGGUAGGCGGAAUUGACGGUGUAACGGUGAAAUGCUUAGAUAUCGUCAAGAACACCGAUAGUGAAGACAGCUUACUAGGCUGCAACUGACGCUGAGGCACGAAAGUGUGGGGAUCAAACAGG
RNAcentral lists this ribosomal RNA (253 nucleotides) under uncultured bacterium. RNAcentral describes it as "partial 16S ribosomal RNA". It matches the Rfam family "Bacterial small subunit ribosomal RNA", at positions 524 to 776 of the family's 1533-position model. The record is from RNAcentral.